Molecule: long non-coding RNA, 417 nt
Organism: Mobula hypostoma (lesser devil ray)
Lineage: Eukaryota; Metazoa; Chordata; Chondrichthyes; Myliobatiformes; Myliobatidae
Exons: 3
Source: RefSeq, a predicted model, not a curated record
UUUCCAAAUUGUCUGAGUUGCACUAUCGCUUCUGUCCAAGUCAGCAGGAGGAAGGAGAUGCAAGGAGGCUUUCGGCCUCCCGUGCUUUCAUCCCUGCAGUACCCUCCCAUUGGGUCGCAGGGUUGACAUCACACGCAUGCUUAUGGUCGCAGGGUUUUGCCCUCGCUGAUGUCAUUCCGUCUGGAUCUGAAGAGGCUCUGAAUGCAGAUUCCUGACCUGAGUGACCGAAGGUCAUCUGUUCCACUUGACAUUGAGCAGGCCGACAGGACAUGGUGCUGCAACACAGCAGGCCACCGGGAACCGAAUUGGAUGGCAGAGGGGAAGAAGCUGUUCCUUAAUCGCUGAGUGUGUGCCUUCAGGCUCCUGUACCUCCUCCCUGAUGGUAGAUAUGAGAACAAGGCAUGACCUGGAUGAUGG